GGAGACUUGGUUACAUACAAAGAUAAGAACUUUAUUAAUUAACUAAAACACUUCAGAUCGUUUCUUUAUUCGCAGCAACUACAAUCAAGUUACAACUCAUAAAAGCAAAAGUUCAAAAUAAACAUCCAUACCACAAGAGGGAGGCUCGACCAUGAGAUAAGUAAGGAGGGGAUGAGUUUUGAUUCAAGGAAGACAUCCAUCCUACCUUAAGAAAACUCCAAAUGACCCCAAGUUGAACAUUCAACAAUAACCAUGAAUAAAACCAAACAUAUCAUGACCAAUCAUUUUUAAAACCUUAAGCAACUGCGUAUGAAGACAUAAAAGUAAUGCAUCAAAAGGAGGUUUAGAAAGUAAAGAUACAAGUUUUAGAAGAUUAAAUGAAU
This 383-nucleotide long non-coding RNA is filed under the name Lupinus angustifolius (narrow-leaved blue lupine). RNAcentral's name for it is "long non-coding RNA (LANG_LNC002432)". Lineage: Eukaryota; Viridiplantae; Streptophyta; Magnoliopsida; Fabales; Fabaceae. The record is from RNAcentral.